UGCACGGUAGCCAAGUGGAAAGGCCCGCGGCCGUUAACCGCGUCAUCGCAAGUUCGAAUCUUGCCCGUGCAG
This 72-nucleotide transfer RNA is filed under the name Polyangiaceae bacterium. RNAcentral describes it as "tRNA-Asn". It matches the Rfam family "tRNA". From Rfam's summary of the family: Transfer RNA (tRNA) molecules are approximately 80 nucleotides in length. The record is from RNAcentral. Lineage: Bacteria; Pseudomonadati; Myxococcota; Polyangiales; Polyangiaceae.